GACGUGUAAGACUGCUGAAAAAAGGUGGGAGAACAGUGGCUCUUGGAGAUGCACAGUAAUCAUCCCGCUAAAGCAGAACUACACUGUCAUCGUAUUAAAGGGGGCUGCAGGAAGCAGCAUACAGAGGAAAUGCCUUGGGCGGGAUGGUAGCCCGGAUCAGGGCUCACAUACUGGCUCACAUGUGGGCA
This is a long non-coding RNA of Brienomyrus brachyistius, 188 nucleotides long. RefSeq lists it as uncharacterized. The transcript is spliced from 3 exons. Lineage: Eukaryota; Metazoa; Chordata; Actinopteri; Osteoglossiformes; Mormyridae. The record is from RefSeq and is a predicted model, not a curated record.